RNAcentral lists this long non-coding RNA (254 nucleotides) under Numida meleagris (helmeted guineafowl). Its description in RNAcentral is "lncRNA (ENSNMEG00000019769.1)". The record is from RNAcentral. Lineage: Eukaryota; Metazoa; Chordata; Aves; Galliformes; Numididae.
CUAGCGUGAAAGUUUGUAUUAUUAUGAUUCAUAUUCUGCAAAAUUGUACUAAUACUGUCAAUUUGUCCAUGUUAUGCUGCUAGAAAAAUCCUGUUUUGGGAGAGGGAUGGAGAGGAUGGAGGUAGCAAAGAUCCAAUUUCUUGUCUGGUUUAUAGAGAGGAUCCAAAAUCAUCACCCUUGAAGGUUUUAGAAACCAUGAGCAACCUUGUCUGAAAUCAGUUUUGACCUUCCUUUGAAUAGAAAUUGGAGUAGAG